UCUACUCUCUUAUUGCUUGCAGGGCUUCUGAAGAGAAUUCUUAUCCUGUUACUUUAUAGCUGCAUCAUAGGAAUCUUGCUUUCCUCAGUGACUGUUAAAGCCCCAUGCCCUGUAUCCUCUGUCCCUGGAAUUUUCCAGGCAAGAAUACUGGAUCAGGUUGCCAUUUCCUGCUGCAGGGGAUCUUCCUGAAUGAGGACCACACCUGCGUCUAUUGUGUCUCCUGCGUUGG
Molecule: long non-coding RNA, 229 nt
Organism: Capra hircus (goat)
Lineage: Eukaryota; Metazoa; Chordata; Mammalia; Artiodactyla; Bovidae
Exons: 3
Source: RefSeq, a predicted model, not a curated record